RNAcentral lists this ribosomal RNA (630 nucleotides) under Triticum aestivum (bread wheat). RNAcentral describes it as "partial small subunit ribosomal RNA". The record is from RNAcentral. Lineage: Eukaryota; Viridiplantae; Streptophyta; Magnoliopsida; Poales; Poaceae.
AUGAUUGACCUAAAUAAGGAACCAGAUGAUAUGGAUAUUGGUGAUCCAGUGAACUCUACACAACAGGGUGCUCAAAAUCCUGAGUUAACCGGUGAUUCUCCUAAUCCUCCUAUAGUGCAAAAUGCCACUGCUCCUGUGGCAAAAACAGUGGAGACAGAUGAGCAAGCUCCUGCAGCACAAGAAUCUGAGACUGAUGGUCAUACCCUUGAUGGAACGGAUGCCGCGGGUGAUACAAGUGUGACUGUUGGUAAUGGUUUGACAGGCUUUGGUGCUGAAAAUGAUGAAGAGGCUUGGUCACAACCCAAGGAGCCUCAUGUGGGCAUGAGGUUUGACACGUCGGAAGGUGCCAAAGAGCACUACAAUGCAUAUGCCUUGCAGAUUGGUUUUUCAAUCAAAAUGAAUACUUCAAGGAAGGCUGUGAAAACUGGAGUGUUGAUAAAACAACAGUUUGUUUGCAACAAGUUUCGAAAGCCUGAAGCCGAUGACGGAGGGGCAGAAAAAAUCCGUGUGUUAGAUGAUAUCGUUGAUCAAACAAAAGAUGAUGAUGAAGACGAGGAUAUUGUCUUUCUUGAUGAUGAUGAUGAUAAUAAACCAAAAAGAGGAGCAAGAAACGAAAGAGAGAUAAAAUAG